CCCUUAGAUGUUCUGGGCCGCACGCGCGCUACAAUGGUCUUCGCAAACGGAUGCAUUCUCGAAGGAGAAUGCCAAUCUUGGAAUCUAUGCCUUGGUCGGGACAGUUGCUUGCAAUUUUUCGACUCGAACCAGGAAUUCCUUGUAAUCGUGAUUCAUCACAUCACGAUGAAUACGUCCCUGCCCUUUGUACACACCGCCUGUCGCUCCUACCGAUCGAAGAGUUAGGUGAAUUGUUUUGAUCGAUAAGAUUUGACUAUGGUCAACUCUCGUUGUGAAAUUCUGUGAAUCUGACUGUUUAGAGGAAGGAAAAGUCGUAACA
RNAcentral lists this ribosomal RNA (319 nucleotides) under uncultured eukaryote. RNAcentral's name for it is "partial 18S ribosomal RNA". It matches the Rfam family "Eukaryotic small subunit ribosomal RNA", at positions 1470 to 1796 of the family's 1831-position model. The record is from RNAcentral.